UCCAGACUCCUACGGGAGGCAGCAGUGGGGAAUAUUGGGCAAUGGGCGCAAGCCUGACCCAGCAACGCCGCGUGAAGGAAGAAGGCUUUCGGGUUGUAAACUUCUUUUCUGAGGGACGAAGAAAGUGACGGUACCUCAGGAAUAAGCCACGGCUAACUACGUGCUAGCAGCCGCGGUAAUACGUAGGUGGCAAGCGUUAUCCGGAUUUAUUGGGUGUAAAGGGAGCGUAGACGGCCAAGCAAGCCAGGGGUGAAAGCCCGGGGCCCAACCCCGGGACUGCCCUUGGAACUGCAUGGCUGGAGUGCGGGAGGGGCAGGCGGAAUUCCUGGUGUAGCGGUGAAAUGCGUAGAUAUCAGGAGGAACACCGGCGGCGAAGGCGGCCUGCUGGACCGCGACUGACGUUGAGGCUCGAAAGCGUGGGGAGCGAACAGGAUUAGAUACCCCUGUAUC
RNAcentral lists this ribosomal RNA (450 nucleotides) under uncultured bacterium. RNAcentral's name for it is "bacterial SSU rRNA". It matches the Rfam family "Bacterial small subunit ribosomal RNA", at positions 330 to 794 of the family's 1533-position model. The record is from RNAcentral.